Pezoporus occidentalis (night parrot) is the source of this 447-nucleotide long non-coding RNA. RefSeq lists it as uncharacterized. The transcript has 3 exons. NCBI's taxonomy places the organism in Eukaryota, Metazoa, Chordata, Aves, Psittaciformes, Psittacidae. The record is from RefSeq and is a predicted model, not a curated record.
UCAUAUACAACAUUUGAAUACUAGUAUCUUGCCUUAAGACAUGUAAAGUGUGAGUCCUCCUAUUCCCACCCUCCUUCUGCUUUUUCUUUUGCUUCUUCACAAAUCAUUCAGUCUGUCUUUUAAGAGGAUCAUUACUGAACCUCGAAUGAGUUCCCAGACCGUGCCUAUGAAUACAGACGAAGAGGGCGGAUACUCUAAUUUAUAUCACCUGCCACAGAACCUAGCCAGAGGCUACAUGCCCCUGAACAUCAACAAAGGGCACUCUCUUCCUUUUGCUGUAUGGUGGCCAGAUAUCUUUACUUUGUUUGUGCUGUGCCUGGCCCUCACCAUAGGAAUGAUAAUCUUAGGUCUCAGAGGUUCUAAGGCACCUGCGGGACAAAAUGAAAACUUGCAAGGACUAAAAGAGAAAUUGUGCUUGAUGGGUGAUGACAACAGUAAGAACAAUAG